This 215-nucleotide unclassified non-coding RNA is filed under the name rhizosphere metagenome. RNAcentral describes it as "partial ribosomal RNA internal transcribed spacer region". The record is from RNAcentral.
GUAGGUGAACCUGCGGAAGGAUCAUUAGUGAAUAUUAGGGCGUCUACUUGUAGAGCCUGACCCUCCACUUCUAACACUGUGCAUUAUUCGGUCAUCUGGCAAAGCAUCUUCGGAUGUGGAGCUGUUUGGCUAAUUUUACCAUUAAACAUUAGUAUCAGUAUGUAACGAAAUAUCGAAACAAAAAAAAACUUUCAACAACGGAUCUCUUGGCUCUC